RNAcentral lists this long non-coding RNA (253 nucleotides) under Ananas comosus (pineapple). RNAcentral's name for it is "long non-coding RNA (ACOM_LNC010066)". Lineage: Eukaryota; Viridiplantae; Streptophyta; Magnoliopsida; Poales; Bromeliaceae. The record is from RNAcentral.
CUCGGCGGCAUAUUGUUACCUAAUUUAAUUAAUUUUCCCUAGCCAACCCUCACCCGAUCGAUCUCUCUUUUCCCCUCCCGCACGACUCUUUCUCUCUCCCCCUCACCACGUCCGUACGACCUCUGUCGUUCCGCACGUGCGCACACGACGUCAUCUGAUCGCCGCCAUCAUCUAUAGCCGCCUCCGCCGCAAUCCUCUUUGACCGUUAUUUUUGGUUCGCUAUAGACGGCAUCUUGCCGUCGUCUUCACUAUU